Myotis lucifugus (little brown bat) is the source of this 88-nucleotide non-coding RNA. NCBI's taxonomy places the organism in Eukaryota, Metazoa, Chordata, Mammalia, Chiroptera, Vespertilionidae. The record is from Rfam.
AUCACUUCUUGGCCUUUUGGCUAAGAUCAAGUGUAGUAUCAAAUAGCUCAUCCUACUCCAGCACACAUUUAAAUAGUUUCCAUCCUAA